This 3253-nucleotide long non-coding RNA is filed under the name Bemisia tabaci. RNAcentral describes it as "lncRNA ENSSSA3NGG001475". Lineage: Eukaryota; Metazoa; Arthropoda; Insecta; Hemiptera; Aleyrodidae. The record is from RNAcentral.
GAACUUCAACCAAAUGCAACUGAUUGUAUUCCUUCAUCUGUCGGAAAUGAUAAUGAAAAACUAACUUCAAAGACUGAAUCCAAAGAUCUUCCCAACUUAGGAAAUGGCAAUGAAGAGCUUUUACGUGCGGAACUUGCGGAGAAAUUGUGUGAACUUGAGAGGUGUCGGCAGAUGCUCAAGAUUCAGUGUAAUCUCAAUUCAAUUUACAAAGACGAGGUUGAAAAACUCUCAUCUCAGCUGAUCAAGGAGAGAGAAGAGACUCACGUUGAUGGUUCCGUCAGUGCGGUGGAAGUUAUGCUAAAAGAACAUUUGGCCAAACUAGAACAAUUUCAAGUCACCAAAACGCUUCGGUCUCACGAACAGCAAACUGACUCUCAAGAUUUUCCGGACAAAUCACGAGCAUCGGAGAAUAAAAAGGAAGUAACGGUAGUUGUAGGAGUCAAAGAUGACAAUACUAAUUUAAUAGAAGAAGAUGAAGUCGUCCAAAAAAGUAAUGAUGCCAAAAUCUUGGAAAAUCCUACAUUUAAUGCCACUACAACAUCAGGAGGAAUCUCAAAGCAACUGGAGUCAACAAAUCAUGUUGUCUCUGAUAGUAAAAGUGAAGAAAAUCCAUCCCUCAAUGCGCAAAAUGACGUCUGUCAGUUUGAGCUCUACGUCCAUGAGUUGGUUCUAUCCAGUCACACUUUGACUCCAAAAACGCAGUUGUUCUUGACGUGGGGUUUUUUAGAUCAAGAAGAAUAUGCUUAUUCGCCAGUAAAGCCUGUCAGUGAUCUUAAUUUUUCAUGUUCCUGUAUUUACAAAGGGCAUUGCAGCGAGGAAUUUCUAAAGUAUCUACUAUCCCAUGGUGUUGUCAUUGAAGUGUACCAAGUUCUAGGAGAAGGAUGUUUCAAGAUUGCCGAAGCUAUGGUCGACACUAGUGCUGCUGUUAAAUUUCCAUCAAAGACGCAUUCCUCCAAAAUCCCGCUUGUCAGUCAAUAAUUGUUGGUGCUCUACAUAGUUCUAUUAAACUUGUGUGCUCUUGUGAAUUGCGGCAGCAAUUCUUAUUGCAGGUACAAAAUUAUUAAACACGUAUUUCAUCCGUUAUUACCAUCUGAUUUUGAUGCCUUCCAGAGAUAAAAUUUUUCUUACCUUUGUCACUAUAUUUUUAAAAUUGCCACAUACUUUUAAAUGUGUUAAAGCUAUGAUACAGGAGAACCAUGUUGCAAAAGCUGCAAAGGAUUACAAUAAUUCGCCAAUGCAACUUAUAUAAUGUACGGAAAAAGAAAAAACUGACAGACUUUAAGGUAGGUACCUACGCCUUAAAGUUUUCAAAAUCUGAAUUAUAUUUUUUUUUUGUAUCAUAUAUUUUGCGGUGGUAAAUGCUAGUAAUCUCUUGUAAGGAUCUAUCUUUAAAUUCAAACUGAUGCAUUUCUCUCAAGUUCUGUGACAAUUGUCCUUUUCAUAAUGCUGUGUCAAGGAUUUCCUUAAACCUUCCUCGAUCAAAAUGUAAACAAUAUAGAGGCCUCCUAAGGAAAGCAGAUGUUUAAGGAAUGACUAUGAAUAUGGUCCUGAGUCUUCGAAUGCUUAAAGGGUAGGCCUUAUACUCCAAAGACUGAGGGACAAAUUUUGCAGAAGAUAAAAAAGAAAAAAAAAUAUUACUUUCUGCAAUUGUUUUUAAAUUGUCGAUUUAGUGGGCCAAUUUUUAAAGUAGUAAAUAAAAUUUGUUGUUUUCAUUAGUUAAUUGAAGUCCAAGAAUGUAUUUCUAGAGUCCUGUGCCACUCUAAAAGUUGUAACUUAUACUGCAAGCUCUACAUCAGGGGAAAGUGGCCGGUCUUUAAGUAUUAUUCGAUGGCUGUCCAAUUGAUAAAAUAUUGCAAUUUCUUAAGUGAAAAACUAGAGUCUGAAAUUUGCAUAACCCUGACUCUUCUUCCCAGUUUUCCCUUGCGCUAGAUGAUCAAAAAUGCACCACACCUGUACCAUUAAGCUUCGAGGGAAGCAAAUUAAGGGUUUUAAAAAAAUUACGGAAAGAUCAAAAAUUGUCUCUUGAUCAAAGAGCUCCAUGUAAUUAACGUUGUGUUAAUAACAUUCCCAAAACCCUUGUAAUAUAGAUGAUAAUAAUACCUAGCCAGGUAAAAAUAAACCUAAAAAAUGAAAUUGUCACGAUUUUUAUGAAAAAAAUACAAUAAUAGUUUCUAUGUUUUGAAUACUAGUCCUUUUUCUGUGUUUUUAUGAUUAUAAUUAUAUUUUUUAAUGUACUUUUGUGAAAGUAUGAUAUCAUUUUUCACUUUCUCCGUUUCGUUUCAGAGUCAACCAAAGGAAGAAUUGAAAAGACCUGGUGUGGAAGCUGGACAGUGAAACAGUGCAAUAUAGGUUAAUCGUUCAAGUCAGUACCAUUUAAAUUAACUAAGGUACCAAUUCUUGUAAGUAGAAUGUAAGUUCUUAGACUGGUAAAUAUGGAAAUAAAAAACAAAAAGAAAAGAGUUGAUUUGUUUUAUUGCUGAUUUAUACUGUUAACAGAUUCGUCAGAGAAAAAUUCCCUGGCUCUUCCAGGUUUUCCUAACCAAAAUUAUCAAAAUCUCAUGACUUUUCAUGUCGACCCUUAAAACACAUAGGAGUGAUCAAUUUUUGACAAUAAUUUCACCAUAAAUGACUGAAAAUUCUCAAUCAACCAUACUUGCAAUUUUUUAUUAAGAACUUCUCCUCUAUUUACUACUCAGAGUGUAAAUCAGAGCAUUGAACCCGAGUAAGAAUAACUUUGAUUGUGUGGACACUGGACAGCACUGAUGUUUUUUAGAUUUAAAGUUUCAAGAUUUUUCAAAUUUCCAGUCUUUUUCAUUAAAUUCCCUGACUUUUCUCUAGCCUUUUUCUUUGGCAAUUCCUAUUUUUGAAGACCAGUGGACGUAAUGCUGCUUUAUUAUUCGUUCCAGUCUACUUGACAACCUUUUGUGAUCUGCAAAGAAGAAAAAAAACGCUGUAUGAACUAUCAAACAUGAAAAAAAAUUUCAUGGAACUUGUGAUUUUUUUACGGAAUCAUCAUUGUUUCAUCGAGUAUGUGUAAGAAUUUCAACGAAAAAUCUUCUUUUUCCUCAAAAAUAAAAAUUAUUUGGAAGGCAAUUGAGCAGCUUUUGAAUGUUUGAGUGGCAUUUUUUUAAAGCACAGCAGUGUUACUAACAAAGUUUUUGACUCAGCCUAUAGCGGCAUUGGUUCCAAGUUGUUCAUUCAUUUAAAAGAAAAUCGACUGAAAAGGGAGUUGCCACCCUAAAAUUAUGAAAAA